RNAcentral lists this ribosomal RNA (429 nucleotides) under Actinomycetes bacterium. Its description in RNAcentral is "Actinobacteria bacterium partial 16S ribosomal RNA". It matches the Rfam family "Bacterial small subunit ribosomal RNA", at positions 355 to 776 of the family's 1533-position model. Lineage: Bacteria; Bacillati; Actinomycetota; Actinomycetes. The record is from RNAcentral.
UAGGGAAUCUUCCGCAAUGGGCGAAAGCUUGACGGAGCAACGCCGCGUGAGUGAUGAAGGUCUUCGGAUCGUAAAACUCUGUUAUUAGGGAAGAACAAAUGUGUAAGUAACUAUGCACGUCUUGACGGUACCUAAUCAGAAAGCCCCGGCUAACUACGUGCCAGCAGCCGCGGUAAUACGUAGGUGGCAAGCGUUAUCCGGAAUUAUUGGGCGUAAAGCGCGCGUAGGCGGUUUUUUAAGUCUGAUGUGAAAGCCCACGGCUCAACCGUGGGGGGUCAUUGGAAACUGGAAAACUUGAGUGCAGAAGAGGAAAGUGGAAUUCCAUGUGUAGCGGUGAAAUGCGCAGAGAUAUGGAGGAACACCAGUGGCGAAGGCGACUUUCUGGUCUGUAACUGACGCUGAUGUGCGAAAGCGUGGGGAUCAAACAGG